Echinops telfairi (small Madagascar hedgehog) is the source of this 1371-nucleotide long non-coding RNA. RefSeq lists it as uncharacterized. The transcript has 4 exons. Lineage: Eukaryota; Metazoa; Chordata; Mammalia; Afrosoricida; Tenrecidae. The record is from RefSeq and is a predicted model, not a curated record.
UUUUUUUGUGCUUUUUGGUCCAUCUAUUAAUAAAAAUGAACCCCGUUACAGAGUCACCAUCAUGUCUCUUCUCACCACCCUCUGAGUCUGCAUUAGCCAGUCAACUACCCCUUUCAGCGUCAUGUGACCAGCGCGCCCCAUUCAGCUUGGCUGGUGUCGUUUCACAUGACCCAGGCAUGGCCAGUCGCCAGGUUGCACCGCCCUUUGGUUCCCGAGCAUGCUGUUUUCUCUCAGCCUUCUCUCCAACCUUAACCAAAAUCGGCAGCAGCCACCUCGACCGCCCACACAUUCCUGGCCAAUCAGCUCAGCUGUUUAUUUACCAAAUGUCUUCACAACAACUACAGCAACAGCCUUCGGCUAACCAAAAAGCAGGAAAAAUCCACAACACCCCCUUCGCCAACCAACUAAAUCCAACGCAACAUCUGGCAAAACCUUUUCAGCAAAUUCUUCCUGGCCGUCAGUCCGGCAGCCUCACCUCACCAUUUCUAGCUUGUUGAAACCCAAAACUAAUCUCCUAGGAGGAGAAGCUUCUCUCGCAGCCGGAGCAGGUCCCUUUCUCGAGACCGGAGGAGAGAGAGAUCACUGUCUCGGGAGAGAAAUCACAAGCCGUCCCGCUCCUUCUCGAGGUCUCGUAGCCGAUCUAGGUCAAAUGAAAGAAAAUGAGAAGAUGGAGUUGCAGACGGAGUGUAGUGUGUACAGGAAAUGGAUCAUUUGACAGGAGUGUACAGACAAGUCACGUUGUGUUUGAGUCUUCAGAAGCCUUGGUGCGUUUUAAAGAUAUUUAGCUGUUGGAAUUUUGUCUCCACACAAAAUUGAAUUUGCUUUGAACUUCAGUUAGUCUUGAAUAAGACUGAUAAUAAACCUCUGAGUCUCGCCCAGCUAAAGUGUGAUGUUUACUGUUGAGGAAACAAGUGGCAACGAUGGCUCUAUUGUUUUGUCUGUGGCUGGGAAAAGGCAGCUGUAGUGAAAUGAGCAGUCUGAGAGCAGCUGAGAACAAGCCACCCGAUAAAAGUAAGUAGCUGCACCAUUAAAGUAGGUUAGAGGUUUUAAAUAAAUCCAACCUCGUCUUCAACCAUGUGCAGAAGUUACUCUGUUCAUUUUGAAUUGGAUAGUUUUAAGGAGUUUUUUUUUUUUUAACUUUGGCUUUAGGUCAUAAAGUCUUUGUUAUUGAUGUAUACAAAAAAGUAUUUUGUAACACAUACUUGGAAAAUGUAGGCGAUCCAAGAUACCAAUGUUCUGCCAGUUUUAAUAGGGUACAUUGUAGAGCUGAAUUUAGGGUUACUGUGCAAGAUUUGUUUUCAUGCUGUCAUUUGUAAUGUAAUGUUUUGUGGACGUCGUCGGGAUUAAAGUUUUGGUUUAUAAAUUGUUUAA